This 413-nucleotide long non-coding RNA is filed under the name Mus caroli (Ryukyu mouse). Its description in RNAcentral is "lncRNA (MGP_CAROLIEiJ_G0005734.1)". Lineage: Eukaryota; Metazoa; Chordata; Mammalia; Rodentia; Muridae. The record is from RNAcentral.
UGGUCCAGCGAGAUGCUGAAGAAGUCAGGCUCACAGAGCCCCAUUGUGGUGUGUCAGAACCCACAGAAAAUGUCCCUCCUGUGCAUUAUUUAUGACUUUCCUGCAUUUAUAUAGUAUCCAGCUUCCUGAAAGUAAUUUGUUUUGGAUUGUGUAGUGCCGGGCAGCACAUCAAAGGAAAUUAGUGUCGGAACAAAGCCUUCUGGGAAGGCUAUGAAGAUCUUCAAGCCCACUUGGAGAGAAUUCUGUAGACCUCCUGAUUGAACCAAUGGCUAGGCAGCCAUGGGACCAGUUUUAAAGUAGUGCCAAGGUGCUAGGUUAAUUAAUGAAGAGAAUCUUUCAAGACUGGACAUUUAGGCUGCACUUGCUGGUUAUAAUUUAAAUAUUUCUCAAUAAAAGCAUUUUCCAUUUUAAAA